RNAcentral lists this long non-coding RNA (1554 nucleotides) under Salmo salar (Atlantic salmon). Its description in RNAcentral is "lncRNA (ENSSSAG00000087831.1)". Lineage: Eukaryota; Metazoa; Chordata; Actinopteri; Salmoniformes; Salmonidae. The record is from RNAcentral.
GGGAAGGGAGAUGGAGAGGGGUGGGAGAGGGGAGGGGAGGGGGAAGGGAGAUGGAGAGGGGAAGGGAGAGGGGAGGGAGAGGGAAGGGAGAGGGGAAGGCAGAGGGAGAGGGGAAGGGAGAGGGGAGGGGGAGGGAGAGGGAAGGGAGAGGGGAAGGGAGAGGGAGAGGGGAAGGGAGAGGGAGUGUAGUAUGCAGAGGAAAAAGCAGAAAAAACACAGAUAGAGAAAGGCAGAAAAACAGUGAGAAAGACGGAAAGACUGAGAGACUGGGAGCGAGAAAUAGAGUGGAGGUGUGUAUAAUAUGUGUAUAUUGUAUGUUUGUUUGUGUGUGAGUGUGUGAGUGUGUGAGUGAGUGCGUGAGUUUGUGUGUCUGUGGUAGGAUGUAAUAUUGGGGUGUGGUGGUGAGAGGGGCAGCUCACGGGCAGCUCUUUGUGCCCCAGACGGUGCUAGCUGCCCUGGGGCCAUUGGGGGCUAGAGGGAGGACAAGGGAACCAGGUGAAGAGCCACUCUGUUUGACCAGUGAAAACACAACAGAUUUACAAGGACUGGGGUCCCCAAAAGGGCCACUGCGUUUUAUGGCACGUGGAGAUGCAACAUUUAAUGUUAUCCUCAUUCCCAAAUGGAUGGUGGUGGGAUUGACGGCAGUAAAAACACCAAGCUUUCUACAGCUUUUGUUUUUAUGUAACCCACCUCUCCCAAAUGGGUUAGGCUUUUAGUUUUCAUCUGUCAGUCAUUUAAGGUCGUCUUAAAGACAGCUGUCUAUCUACUCAUGUUACCCACAAUGCUUUUAAGGCUAUAUGGUCAUGUUGUUAGAUGAACAAACAUCUGGCUAAUGUUAUCAGCAAAUAAAGAAACGAUUAAGUUGUUUUAUGGUUAAAUCCAGUUCAUCCGUUUCAAUUGCAUUUAUAUUAGUCCUAUUUGUUUUACAGACAUAAAGUAUAAACUCUGAACAUGUCUUAUGAAGUAUAAACUCUGAACAUGUCUUAUAAGGUAUAAACUCUGAACAUGUCUUAUAAAGUAUAAACUCUGAACAUGUCUUAUAAAGUAUAAACUCUGAACAUGUCUUAUAAAGUAUAAACUCUGAACAUGUCUUAUAAAGUAUAAACUCUGGACAUGUCCUAUAAAGUAUAAACUCUGAACAUGUCUUAUAAAGUAUAAACUCUGAACAUGUCUUAUGAAGUAUAAACUCUGAACAUGUCUUAUGAAGUAUAAACUCUGAACAUGUCUUAUGAAGUAUAAACUCUGAACAUGUCUUAUGAAGUAUAAACUCUGAACAUUCUGAACAUGUCUUAUGAAGUAUAAACUCUGAACAUUCUGAACAUGUCUUAUGAAGUAUAAACUCUGAACAUUCUGAACAUGUCUUAUGAAGUAUAAACUCUGAACAUUCUGAACAUGUCUUAUGAAGUAUAAACUCUGAACAUGUCUUAUGAAGUAUAAACUCUGAACAUUCUGAACAUGUCUUAUGAAGUAUAAACUCUGAACAUUCUGAACAUGUCUUAUGAAGUAUAAACUCUGAACAUUCUGAACAUGUCUUAUGAAGUAUAAACUCUGAAC